GACGAACGCUGGCGGCGUGCUUAACACAUGCAAGUCGAACGGUAAGGCCCUUCGGGGUACACGAGUGGCGAACGGGUGAGUAACACGUGGGUGAUCUGCCCUGCACUUCGGGAUAAGCCUGGGAAACUGGGUCUAAUACCGGAUAGGACUCCUGGCUUCAUGGUUGGGGGUGGAAAGCGUUUGCGGUGUGGGAGGGGCCCGCGGCCGAUCAGCUUGUGGGUGGGGUAAUGGCCUACCAAGGCGACGGCGGGUAGCCGGCCUGAGAGGGUGACCGGUCACACUGGGACUGAGAUAGGGCCCAGACUCCUACGGGAGGCAGCAGUGGGGAAUAUUGCACAAUGGGCGCAAGCCUGAUGCAGCGACGCCGCGUGAGGGAUGACGGCCUUCGGGUUGUAAACCUCUUUCAGCACCGACGAAGCGCAAGUGACGGUAGGUGCAGAAGAAGGACCGGCCAACUACGUGCCAGCCGCCGCUGUAA
Molecule: ribosomal RNA, 478 nt
Filed under: uncultured bacterium
Lineage: Bacteria
Description: partial 16S ribosomal RNA
Rfam family: Bacterial small subunit ribosomal RNA
Source: RNAcentral